ACACAUCAAAGCACUCUCUUGCUGACAUCAGGGCUUUCCUGUUGCAGUCGGGUGUGCACGUCUCCAACACCACUAUAAGACGACACUAUAGACGUCAAAGACCUGUAGGCCUUCCUAGAAAAACAACUGCAAGGAAAAUGAACAGUGCUGCACUUAAAACGAUUGACGAAAAACUUAACAAGGACAAUGAGCGAUCUGCUAAAAAGAUUCAGAGCGAGCUUCUGUUUAGAAUACAGUUAAAAGCAUCAGUCUGCACUAUUAGAAAACCAUUAAAACAACUCAGGUGGACCUAUGGAAAAGCCAGGGAUUGGACAGCUGUUUUUACAAAGACACUAUAGUAAAAUUUAAUCAGGUUCCAUAUGUAAAACAACACUUUAAAGAACCACAUCGCUUCUUCCAAGGUAGAUGCAGUAUGUAGGCCUACUGUACCAACUGUGUGUGUGUGUGUGUGUGUGUGUGUGUGUGUGUGUGUGUGUGCACACGUUCACUGCUGUGUGAAUGGGUUGAACUUUUUUAUCAAUCUUGAUGAUUAUAG
RNAcentral lists this long non-coding RNA (535 nucleotides) under Danio rerio (zebrafish). RNAcentral describes it as "lncRNA (ENSDARG00000117318.1)". Lineage: Eukaryota; Metazoa; Chordata; Actinopteri; Cypriniformes; Danionidae. The record is from RNAcentral.